UGGGGAAUCUUAGACAAUGGGGGAAACCCUGAUCUAGCCAUGCCGCGUGAGCGAUGAAGGCCUUAGGGUUGUAAAGCUCUUUCAGCUGGGAAGAUAAUGACGGUACCAGCAGAAGAAGCCCCGGCUAACUCCGUGCCAGCAGCCGCGGUAAUACGGAGGGGGCUAGCGUUGUUCGGAAUUACUGGGCGUAAAGCGCACGUAGGCGGAUUAGUCAGUCAGAGGUGAAAUCCCAGGGCUCAACCCUGGAACUGCCUUUGAUACUGCUAGUCUUGAGGUCGAGAGAGGUGAGUGGAAUUCCGAGUGUAGAGGUGAAAUUCGUAGAUAUUCGGAGGAACACCAGUGGCGAAGGCGGCUCACUGGCUCGAUACUGACGCUGAGGUGCGAAAGCGUGGGGAGCAAAACAGGAUUAGAUACCCUGGUAGUCCACGCCGUAAACGAUGAAUGCCAGUCGUCGGGUUGCAUGCAAUUCGGUGACACACCUAACGGAUUAAGCAUUCCGCCUGGGGAGUACGGUCGCAAAGAUUAAAACUUAAAUGAAUUGACGGGGUCAUAGCUGUUUCCUG
This 563-nucleotide ribosomal RNA is filed under the name uncultured bacterium. Its description in RNAcentral is "partial 16S ribosomal RNA". It matches the Rfam family "Bacterial small subunit ribosomal RNA", at positions 355 to 1376 of the family's 1533-position model. The record is from RNAcentral.